UGUAAAUGUAAAUUUUUAAACCAGGGUAGUAAUAGUUAAGUUCUUGAAACCCAAAGAAUUUGGCGGUAUUUUAGUCCUUUCAGAGGAAUCUGUCCCGUAAUCGACAACCCACGAGAUAAUUUACUUAUUCUUGUAUUUCAGUUUGUAUACCUCCGUCAUAAGAAGAUCUUUUUAGAGAUUUAAUUUUCUUAAUAUACUAAAUAUAGGAUGUCAGGUCAAGGUGCAAUUUAUGAAUAAGUGGAGAUGGAUUACAAUAAAAUUAUUUAAAUGGAUUAAAUUGAUUAAUUUUUUAUGAAGGUGGAUUUGAUAGUAAUUUUAAUUAUUUGUUAUUAUGAUUUUGGCUCUAAAAUAUGC
RNAcentral lists this ribosomal RNA (354 nucleotides) under Dromogomphus spoliatus. Its description in RNAcentral is "partial 12S ribosomal RNA". The record is from RNAcentral. Lineage: Eukaryota; Metazoa; Arthropoda; Insecta; Odonata; Gomphidae.